This 420-nucleotide long non-coding RNA is filed under the name Lupinus angustifolius (narrow-leaved blue lupine). RNAcentral describes it as "long non-coding RNA (LANG_LNC002448)". The record is from RNAcentral. Lineage: Eukaryota; Viridiplantae; Streptophyta; Magnoliopsida; Fabales; Fabaceae.
GUAAAUGUCUUGUCCUAGCUCUUGAAUAGAAGGGUAUAUUUGUCAGAGUUAUUGGUUUCUCUGAAGAAAUGGAAGAGAAGUAGUAGCCCUUGUUUAGAAAAUUAAUGUCAAGUUUCAUCCUAAAUUUUCCAUCUACCUUGUUUGUCAAAUGCGAUGUCAUAACUUAUGAGUAAGAGGACUAUUGUAUAUUAGCAAUAAUCUAUUCACGAAAUUUGUUCCCCUUCCUUGUGUACCAUGAAGUGAUUCGAGAGAAAUGACUCACGGUUAUUUAGCAUCUUGAUACGUGGUUGUUGGCGAAUCAUAGACAAGAUGGACAUUGUUGCCACUUGAAGUUACACUAAGAGAUAAAGCAUCAAUGCAGCCCCUCCCUAUUCCCCCAUCGGAGGGGAAAAACACAGAUAUGGGAGGAAAGACGAAACC